This 72-nucleotide transfer RNA is filed under the name Vicugna pacos (alpaca). RNAcentral's name for it is "tRNA-Ala (AGC) (tRNA-Ala-AGC-496-1)". It matches the Rfam family "tRNA". Rfam says of the family: Transfer RNA (tRNA) molecules are approximately 80 nucleotides in length. Their secondary structure includes four short double-helical elements and three loops (D, anti-codon, and T loops). Lineage: Eukaryota; Metazoa; Chordata; Mammalia; Artiodactyla; Camelidae. The record is from Rfam by way of RNAcentral.
AGGGGUAUAGCUCAGUGGUAGAGCACAUGCUUAGCAUGCACGAGGUCCUGGGUUCAAUCCCCAGUACCUCUA